This 63-nucleotide transfer RNA is filed under the name Chamaemyia juncorum. RNAcentral describes it as "tRNA-Leu". The record is from RNAcentral. Lineage: Eukaryota; Metazoa; Arthropoda; Insecta; Diptera; Chamaemyiidae.
ACUAUUUUGGCAGAUUAGUGCAAUAAAUUUAGAAUUUAUUAAUGUAAAUUUUUACAAAUAGUA